UACGGAGGGGGCUAGCGUUGUUCGGAAUUACUGGGCGUAAAGCGCACGUAGGCGGCUUUGUAAGUUAGAGGUGAAAGCCCGGGGCUCAACUCCGGAAUUGCCUUUAAGACUGCAUCGCUAGAAUUGUGGAGAGGUAAGUGGAAUUCCGAGUGUAGAGGUGAAAUUCGUAGAUAUUCGGAAGAACACCAGUGGCGGAGGCGACUUACUGGACACAUAUUGACGCUGAGGUGCGAAAGCGUGGGGAGCAAACAGG
RNAcentral lists this ribosomal RNA (253 nucleotides) under uncultured bacterium. Its description in RNAcentral is "partial 16S ribosomal RNA". It matches the Rfam family "Bacterial small subunit ribosomal RNA", at positions 524 to 776 of the family's 1533-position model. The record is from RNAcentral.